AGAAAGAUUAAUACCGGAUGGCCCCGCAUGGGUAAAGAAUUUCGGUUGUCGAUGGGGAUGCGUUCCAUUAGGCAGUUGGCGGGGUAACGGCCCACCAAACCUACGAUGGAUAGGGGUUCUGAGAGGAAGGUCCCCCACAUUGGAACUGAAACACGGUCCAAACUCCACGGGAGGCAGCAGUGAGGAAUAUUGGUCAAUGGACGAGAGUCUGAACCAGCCAAGUAGCGUGAAGGAUGACUGCC
RNAcentral lists this ribosomal RNA (242 nucleotides) under uncultured bacterium. RNAcentral's name for it is "partial 16S ribosomal RNA". It matches the Rfam family "Bacterial small subunit ribosomal RNA", at positions 156 to 416 of the family's 1533-position model. The record is from RNAcentral.